RNAcentral lists this long non-coding RNA (399 nucleotides) under Glycine max (soybean). RNAcentral's name for it is "long non-coding RNA (GMAX_LNC004055)". Lineage: Eukaryota; Viridiplantae; Streptophyta; Magnoliopsida; Fabales; Fabaceae. The record is from RNAcentral.
GUGCUUCUUCCAAAAGGUUCAAUUUGGCAUACAAAUUGAUAAGGGCGAAUGGUUAAAAAUGUUUCGGAGUGGUAUCCAUUUCAACGAGAAGGUUACAAGUCUGAGCCAAGAAACACUUGAGGAGCUCAUAAUAGGUGUGGCAUCAGACUUGAAUCAACAUCUUUCCAUGACAUUGCAUGACUCAAUUCCAUGACAUCCACCUUCUUCCAAAACGAUAUGUUAUCUUUGACAAUAACCACAAUCUUGAGGUGCCGACGUUCAUGUCGAAAAUGUAAGGAACCUCGGCGAUGUUGUCAACCUUGUGCAAGACCUUGCAGUCGGCUAGGAGGAUGCACUUGCCGGUGAUGAAAAGCUACAGUCUUCCGGGGAUGAUGAGAUGAAAGUUGGGGUCUUAAAAAA